CCAUUUGGGAACAUCUGGGGAGCUGGAGCAAAGGUGGAAGAGUGGAAAGGAACAGGAGGGGAGCUGCUGCUGGAGUGCAGGAACUCUAUGGCAACCCUGCAGGGAGCUGAAGGAAGAGACAGUUGUCUCACUGGUCCCAACCCCGAGACAAGGAGACUACUAAUGGUCCCUCUGGCACGCGACUACCAUUCUCCAUUACACAAGUACCACAGACUUCAGAUAUCUGUGCAAUAGUUUGCUUGGCACAUGGCUGACAUUGUCCUGCUAUUUAUGAAAUCAAUAAAAGCCUUCUUGUUUCUUGAGCA
Lonchura striata (white-rumped munia) is the source of this 305-nucleotide non-coding RNA. NCBI's taxonomy places the organism in Eukaryota, Metazoa, Chordata, Aves, Passeriformes, Estrildidae. The record is from RefSeq and is a predicted model, not a curated record.